UUGUUCUUUAAAUAAGGACUAGUAUCAACGGCAUCACGAGGGUUAUACUGUCUCCUUUCUCCUAUCAGUGAAACUGAUCUCCCCGUGAAGAAGCGGGGAUUUUAUCAUAAGACGAGAAGACCCCAUGGAGCUUUAAACCCAACAMCCCYUCUGUGUACUCACACCCACAUAACCCAAAGAGAGCUGCCCUGUUGGUUUUAGGUUGGGGUGACCACGGAGUACAACUAAGCCUCCAUAAUGAAUUGGGCCAUACCCUAAUCCAAGAGCAACCGCUCUAAGAAUUAUUAAUUUAACAUAAAAUGAUCCGAUUUUUCGAUCAACGAACCAAGUUACCCUGGGGAUAACAGCGCAAUCCAUUUCAAGAGCUCCUAUCGACAAAUGGGUUUACGACCUCGAUGUUGGA
Molecule: ribosomal RNA, 403 nt
Filed under: Conraua beccarii (Filfil slippery frog)
Lineage: Eukaryota; Metazoa; Chordata; Amphibia; Anura; Petropedetidae
Description: partial 16S ribosomal RNA
Source: RNAcentral